GCCAGAGCUGUGCCUGAAAUUAGCUGAUCUGGAAUAUCUCAUCUCAGUGGCAUCAUACAGAGCCAAGACCAGAAAAUAAAGAAGCUACGUAAGGCGAGGAGAGGACCCAAAUGCAGGACACUGAGGCGGAAAAAAUAUCCAGUGAGCAGCAGUUCUUGAUGUCAGAAGUCAGAGGAAAAUGGCCAGACUGCCUUAGGCUGAUAAGAAGAGGGAGAGGCCUUACCUUGAAGAAGAUAAUGAUGGCGCUGACGAGCACGCUGAUGCUCUGGAGAAGAUCUCCCAACACGUGCACAAAAGCUGCUCGCACACUUGCGUUGGCCUGCUGAGCUCUCCGUCCUGGCAG
Molecule: long non-coding RNA, 343 nt
Organism: Oreochromis aureus
Lineage: Eukaryota; Metazoa; Chordata; Actinopteri; Cichliformes; Cichlidae
Exons: 3
Source: RefSeq, a predicted model, not a curated record